Molecule: long non-coding RNA, 456 nt
Organism: Podarcis raffonei (Aeolian wall lizard)
Lineage: Eukaryota; Metazoa; Chordata; Lepidosauria; Squamata; Lacertidae
Exons: 3
Source: RefSeq, a predicted model, not a curated record
AAGAUUACUGGGGAAUAACAAGCUGUUAGAUGUUACCAGGAAAGCUGUUCCAAGAGUAGGUGGAAGCACAAAAGGCGUCAUGAAGCUGUUUGUGGGAUGAACAGGAGAAAGCAGGAAAAUGAGAAAGGAAAGAAGAGCUGAGAGGAGAGUGGGAGGAAUGAAAGCAGGGUGUGGGCAGGAAGGAGGAGUUGACGUGAUAAAGCAUGAAAGGAGUUCUACAAGGACAACCCUGAAGCUAAGAAAGAAGAGGAAGCUUACAGGCAUUGCCAACUCCUGGGUUGGUUCUCAGUAAGAGGUUAGGCAGCUGGAGGCUGGCUGAGGGCAGAAUGAGGUUGGUGGUGGGUCAUUAUCCCAUGUGCCCUAAUGGACAAACUGGGGUAACUGUGACACUCAGCCACAGGGCUACUUUCUCAUGAAAAAAUGUUGGCCUAUUGUCAGGGUCAAGUCUUCUCUGAA